Molecule: ribosomal RNA, 484 nt
Filed under: uncultured bacterium
Lineage: Bacteria
Description: partial 16S ribosomal RNA
Rfam family: Bacterial small subunit ribosomal RNA
Source: RNAcentral
AUUGAACGCUGGCGGCAGGCCUAACACAUGCAAGUCGAGCGGAUGAAGGGAGCUUGCUCCUGGAUUCAGCGGCGGACGGGUGAGUAAUGCCUAGGAAUCUGCCUGGUCGUGGGGGCUAACGUCCGGAAACGGGCGCUAAUACCGCAUACGUCAUGAGGGUGAAAGUGGGGGAUCUUCGGACCUCACGCUAUCAGAUGAGCCUAGGUCGGAUUAGCUAGUUGGUUGGGUAAAGGCCUACCAAGGCGACGAUCCGUAACUGGUCUGCGAGGGUGAUCUGCCACCACGGAAAUGGGACACGGUCCAGAAUCCUACGGGAGGCAGGAGGAGGGAAAUUUGGGCAAUGGGGGAAAGCCUGACGGAGCAACGGCGGGGGAGUGAAGAAGGUCUUUGGAUGUUAAAACCCUUUUAUUAGGGGAGAAAAGAUGUGAAAGUAACUGUGCGCUUCUUGACGGUACCUAAUAAGAAAGCCACGGCUAACUUCGUG